AGAGUUUGAUCAUGGCUCAGAUUGAACGCUGGCGGCAGGCCUAACACAUGCAAGUCGAGCGGAUGAGAAGAGCUUGCUCUUCGAUUCAGCGGCGGACGGGUGAGUAAUGCCUAGGAAUCUGCCUGGUAGUGGGGGAUAACGUCCGGAAACGGGCGCUAAUACCGCAUACGUCCUACGGGAGAAAGCAGGGGACCUUCGGGCCUUGCGCUAUCAGAUGAGCCUAGGUCGGAUUAGCUAGUUGGCGGGGUAAAGGCCCACCAAGGCGACGAUCCGUAACUGGUCUGAGAGGAUGAUCAGUCACACUGGAACUGAGACACGGUCCAGACUCCUACGGGAGGCAGCAGUGGGGAAUAUUGGACAAUGGGCGAAAGCCUGAUCCAGCCAUGCCGCGUGUGUGAAGAAGGUCUUCGGAUUGUAAAGCACUUUAAGUUGGGAGGAAGGGUUGUAACCUAAUACGUUGCAAUUUUGACGUUACCGACAGAAUAAGCACCGGCUAACUUCGUGCCAGCAGCCGCGGUAAUUC
This 523-nucleotide ribosomal RNA is filed under the name uncultured bacterium. RNAcentral describes it as "bacterial SSU rRNA". It matches the Rfam family "Bacterial small subunit ribosomal RNA", at positions 8 to 526 of the family's 1533-position model. The record is from RNAcentral.